This 509-nucleotide ribosomal RNA is filed under the name uncultured bacterium. Its description in RNAcentral is "partial 16S ribosomal RNA". It matches the Rfam family "Bacterial small subunit ribosomal RNA", at positions 355 to 853 of the family's 1533-position model. The record is from RNAcentral.
UGGGGAAUAUUGGACAAUGGGGGCAACCCUGAUCCAGCCAUGCCGCGUGUGUGAAGAAGGCCUUUUGGUUGUAAAGCACUUUAAGCAGGGAGGAGAGGCUAAAUGGUUAAUACCCAUUAGAUUAGACGUUACCUGCAGAAUAAGCACCGGCUAACUCUGUGCAGCAGCCGCGGUAAUACAGAGGGUGCGAGCGUUAAUCGGAAUUACUGGGCGUAAAGCGAGUGUAGGUGGCUCAUUAAGUCACAUGUGAAAUCCCCGGGCUUAACCUGGGAACUGCAUGUGAUACUGGUGGUGCUAGAAUAUGUGAGAGGGAAGUAGAAUUCCCAGGUGUAGCGGUGAAAUGCGUAGAGAUCUGGAGGAAUACCGAUGGCGAAGGCAGCUUCCUGGCAUAAUAUUGACACUGAGAUUCGAAAGCGUGGGUAGCAAAACAGGAUUAGAUACCCUGGUAGUCCACGCCGUAAACGAUGUCUACUAGCCGUUGGGGUCCUUGAGACUUUAGUGGCGCAGUU